RNAcentral lists this transfer RNA (72 nucleotides) under Chelonia mydas (Green sea turtle). It matches the Rfam family "tRNA". Rfam says of the family: Transfer RNA (tRNA) molecules are approximately 80 nucleotides in length. Their secondary structure includes four short double-helical elements and three loops (D, anti-codon, and T loops). Further hydrogen bonds mediate the characteristic L-shaped molecular structure. tRNAs have two regions of fundamental functional importance: the anti-codon, which is responsible for specific mRNA codon recognition, and the 3' end, to which the tRNAs corresponding amino acid is attached (by aminoacyl-tRNA synthetases). tRNAs cope with the degeneracy of the genetic code in two manners: having more than one tRNA (with a specific anti-codon) for a particular amino acid; and 'wobble' base-pairing, i.e. permitting non-standard base-pairing at the 3rd anti-codon position. Lineage: Eukaryota; Metazoa; Chordata; Testudines; Cheloniidae. The record is from Rfam by way of RNAcentral.
GGAAGCAUGGUCCAGCAGACAGGGUACUGGACUGGAAAUUCAGAGACUUGGGUUCUAUUCCCAGUUCUGCCA